ACGAGUCACGGUGGCUACGAGUCACGGUGGCUCCGCGCUGGCGGCGGGUUCCCGCAAAAGGUCUUGGGGAAAGGAGCAUGCGCUGGAAGCUGUGUGCUGUUGGUUUGAGGAUCUUCAGUAAGCUAAAAGCGGAGAGUCAGGGGCCUUCUGCCCUACCAUGGUAUUUGCUAACGUUUAGAGAGUGCUUCCCCUUGCCGAGCACUGGAACCCAAAGAUUGGAUCUUCUGAGAACAUCAGAGAAAGACUGUCCUUGCCAUCCACACCACAGCAAAAUUUUGGAGCCUUGAACCUUGGGUUCAUAAUCUCACAGCUGAGAAAAGUCCCUCCACACUCCUGGAACUGUACACCUAUUGGAACCCUUAAGCCUUCUAGGAGGCACCAGUCAGAGCAAUCAAAUGGAAUCAUCUCCUGGUGAAGUUAUCCAGCUCCUAAAUCUAAAGCCCUGAGCAAGGUACUGUACAGUUUACAAAGAAGAGUCAGAUGCAGCCCCAUUGUGCUCUUAAGGGACAACAAUAGAAGAAAUGACAGAAGACAAUCAGAGAUUAAUGACCAGAUGAAUGAGAUAUACCAGGUGGUCCCAACCUGAGCUCCCAGGCUCCCAAGGGUCUUAGAGAGCAGUAAUAGGGGGAGAAGGAAGGGGUGCUUAUGAGCUAUUUUCAGUACUUCAAAAAGACUAAUCCAAAGAGCUCAUAUUUGCUAGAUAUUAGAUGCACAGGCUAAUUAAAAGAAAACAUCAGGUUUCUUUGCUCGGGGCUAGAAACACCAGUUACCCCAUGCUGACUGGAAGAUCUGAUUGGCAGUUACCGUUGUCUUUGAUUAAUAAAACAUGAGAAAAUGAAUUAAU
RNAcentral lists this non-coding RNA (844 nucleotides) under Pongo abelii (Sumatran orangutan). Lineage: Eukaryota; Metazoa; Chordata; Mammalia; Primates; Hominidae. The record is from RNAcentral.